CACGUAGGGUGCAAGCGUUGUUCGGAUUCAUUGGGCGUAAAGGGUGCGUAGGCGGCGCGGUAAGUCGGGUGUGAAAUCUCGGAGCUUAACUCCGAAACUGCAUUCGAUACUGCCGUGCUUGAGGACUGGAGAGGAGACUGGAAUUUACGGUGUAGCGGUGAAAUGCGUAGAUAUCGUAAGGAAGACCAGUGGUGAAGGCGGGUCUCUGGACAGUUCCUGACGCUGAGGCACGAAGGUCAGGGGAGCAAACGGG
This 253-nucleotide ribosomal RNA is filed under the name uncultured bacterium. RNAcentral describes it as "partial 16S ribosomal RNA". It matches the Rfam family "Bacterial small subunit ribosomal RNA", at positions 524 to 776 of the family's 1533-position model. The record is from RNAcentral.